GAUGAACGCUGGCGGCGUGCCUAAUACAUGCGAGUCGAGCGAACGGACGAGAAGCUUGCUUCUCUGAUGUUAGCGGCGGACGGGUGAGUAACACGUGGAUAACCUACCUAUAAGACUGGGAUAACUUCGGGAAACCGGAGCUAAUACCGGAUAAUAUUUUGAACCGCAUGGUUCAAAAGUGAAAGACGGUCUUGCUGUCACUUAUAGAUGGAUCCGCGCUGCAUUAGCUAGUUGGUAAGGUAACGGCUUACCAAGGCAACGAUGCAUAGCCGACCUGAGAGGGUGAUCGGCUACACUGGAACUGAGACACGGUCCAGACUCCUACGGGAGGCAGCAGUAGGGAAUCUUCCGCAAUGGGCGAAAGCCUGACGGAGCAACGCCGCGUGAGUGAUGAAGGUCUUCGGAUCGUAAAACUCUGUUAUUAGGGAAGAACAUAUGUGUAAGUAACUGUGCACAUCUUGACGGUACCUAAUCAGAAAGCCACGGCUAACUACGUG
RNAcentral lists this ribosomal RNA (497 nucleotides) under uncultured bacterium. RNAcentral describes it as "partial 16S ribosomal RNA". It matches the Rfam family "Bacterial small subunit ribosomal RNA", at positions 28 to 507 of the family's 1533-position model. The record is from RNAcentral.